GCCGCGAUAGCUCAGAUGGUAGAGCGCUGCGUUGAAGGCGCAGGCGUGCUUGGUUCGAUUCCAAGUCGCGGCACCA
This 76-nucleotide transfer RNA is filed under the name Allobrachymonas sp. RNAcentral describes it as "tRNA-Phe". It matches the Rfam family "tRNA". Rfam says of the family: Transfer RNA (tRNA) molecules are approximately 80 nucleotides in length. Lineage: Bacteria; Pseudomonadati; Pseudomonadota; Betaproteobacteria; Burkholderiales; Comamonadaceae. The record is from RNAcentral.